RNAcentral lists this long non-coding RNA (918 nucleotides) under Lupinus mutabilis. RNAcentral describes it as "partial ncRNA". Lineage: Eukaryota; Viridiplantae; Streptophyta; Magnoliopsida; Fabales; Fabaceae. The record is from RNAcentral.
CUCUUAACUUCAAACACCUAAUGUUCCUUUCUCUUUUUGUCCUAACCAAAAAAACAUGGCAUUCCUUAAACUCUUCACAUUCUCAAUCUCUCUCUUCCUAUUAAUCUCUCACUCACUUUCUCUCUCUUCUUCUUCUUCCGUUCAUGACCUUCUUCGUUCAAAAGGGUUACCACCUGGACUAUUACCAGAAGAGGUAAACUCAUAUACUUUCUCAGAAGAUGGACACUUAGAAGUGUUCUUAGAUGCACCUUGUUUGACCAAGUACGAGAAUAGGGUGUUCUUUGAACGUGUGGUAACUGCUAACCUAACCUAUGGUAGCCUCAUAGGUGUGGAGGGUCUUCAACAAGAAGAGCUUUUUGUAUGGCUACCUGUUAAGGAUAUCAUAGUUAAUGAUCCUUCAUCAGGGUUGAUUCUCUUUGACAUUGGCCUUGCUUAUAAACAUCUUUCUCUCUCUCUCUUUGAAGAUCCACCUCAUUGCAAGCCACAAGAAGAGAUUCAAGGAGCAAUAAGGAACUCUACGGUUGGAAGAUCACAUACCCAGUAACCUUCAACCAUUAUCAAUGGCAAACUCAGGUACGCUUCCGCUUAUGGUUUUGUUAUUCCUUGAUGAUUAAUAUGAUUGAAUCUAGGGUUUAUGAAUCAAUAUGAUUCCAACAAAAAGUUGGGAUGGUAUGAUUAUGCAAUCUUCCUAAUUAUAUCCUCACAACGAAACACAAUUACCACAAGUACACAAAGUUAUCAUCAUUAUCUUGUACACACUAAAUAUUGGAUAAAACCAGGAACCAAAUGAAUUAAACCGAUUUCUACCGUUUUGCUUGCAUGACUGAUCCAAUAUGUGGCUCGAACGAGUUUGAUUUAUAGGAUGUUCCAAAUUUUCUUUUUUACAAUAACAUGGAUGCAUGGAAUCACAGUUUUGUC